Molecule: ribosomal RNA, 467 nt
Filed under: uncultured bacterium
Lineage: Bacteria
Description: partial 16S ribosomal RNA
Rfam family: Bacterial small subunit ribosomal RNA
Source: RNAcentral
GAUGAACGCUGGCGGCGUGCUUAACACAUGCAAGUCGAACGGAAAGGCCCAAGCUUUCUUGGGUUCUCGAUUGGCGAACGGGUGAGUAACACGUGUGUGAUCUGCCCUUCACUUCGGGAUAAGCCUGGGAAACUGGGUCUAAUACCGGAUAGGACCUCAUUUUGCAUGGUGUGGUGUAAAGUUUUUCGGUGUGGGUUGAGCUCGGGGCCUAUCAGCUUGUUGGUGGGGUAAUGGCGUACCAAGCCGUCGACGGGGAGCCGGCCUGAUAGGGGGGAGGGCCGGAUUGGGAGUGGAAUAGGGCCCAGAGUACUAAAGGGGGCAGCAGUGGGGAAAAUUGGACAAUGGGAGGAAGCCUGAUGGAGCGAGGACGCGUGGGGGAAGACGGCCGUCGGGUUGUAAAAACAAAUGGCUAGGGAAGAAGAGUUUUUGUGACGGUACCUGGAGAAGAAGCACCGGCUAACUACGUG